RNAcentral lists this unclassified non-coding RNA (293 nucleotides) under uncultured Borreliella sp. RNAcentral's name for it is "partial 5S-23S intergenic spacer". The stretch from base 116 to 293 matches the Rfam family "Bacterial large subunit ribosomal RNA", at positions 1 to 186 of the family's 2925-position model. Lineage: Bacteria; Pseudomonadati; Spirochaetota; Spirochaetia; Spirochaetales; Borreliaceae. The record is from RNAcentral.
UUUUAUUGAAAUAAUAUAAAAAAUAAAAUAUAUAUUGACAUGGCUUAAACAAAGAUAUAUAUUAUUCUAUGUUGUAUAAACAAAUUGGCAAAAUAGAGAUGGAAGAUAAAAAUAUGGUCAAAGUAAUAAGAGUCUAUGGUGAAUGCCUAGGAGCUUUAAGGCGAAGAAGGUCGUGGUAAGCUGCGAAAAGCUUGGGGGAGAAGCAAACAUUUAUUGAUCCCAAGAUUACCGAAUGGAGUAAUCCAGCUAGCAAGAUGCUAGCCAUCUAUUAUUUAAAUAAUAGAGGCGAUACC